This 432-nucleotide ribosomal RNA is filed under the name uncultured bacterium. Its description in RNAcentral is "partial 16S ribosomal RNA". It matches the Rfam family "Bacterial small subunit ribosomal RNA", at positions 29 to 506 of the family's 1533-position model. The record is from RNAcentral.
AACGAACGCUGGCGGCAUGCCUAACACAUGCAAGUCGAACGAGACCUUCGGGUCUAGUGGCGCACGGGUGCGUAACGCGUGGGAACCUGCCCUUAGGUUCGGAAUAACUCCCCGAAAGGGGUGCUAAUACCGGAUAAUGUCUUCGGACCAAAGAUUUAUCGCCUUUGGAUGGGCCCGCGUUGGAUUAGCUAGUUGGUAGGGUAAACGCCUACCAAGGCGACGAUCCAUAGCUGGUCUGAGAGGAUGAUCAGCCACACUGGGACUGAGACACGGCCCAGACUCCUACGGGAGGCAGCAGUGGGGAAUAUUGGACAAUGGGCGAAAGCCUGAUCCAGCAAUGCCGCGGGAGUGAUGAAGGCCUUAGGGUUGUAAAGCUCUUUUACCCGGGAUGAUAAUGACAGUACCGGGAGAAUAAGCUCCGGCUAACUCCGU